RNAcentral lists this ribosomal RNA (253 nucleotides) under uncultured bacterium. Its description in RNAcentral is "partial 16S ribosomal RNA". It matches the Rfam family "Bacterial small subunit ribosomal RNA", at positions 524 to 776 of the family's 1533-position model. The record is from RNAcentral.
UACAGAGGGGGCAAGCGGUAAUCGGAAUUACUGGGCGCAAAGCGUGCGUAGGUGGUUUGUUAAGUCAGGCGUGAAAUCCUGGGGCUCAACCUCAGAAUUGCGCUUGAUACUGACAGACUCGAGUGUGGUAGAGGAUAGUGGAAUUCCCGGUGUAGCGGUGAAAUGCGUAGAUAUCGGGAGGAACAUCAGUGGCGAAGGCGGCUAUCUGGACCAACACUGACACUGAGGUACCAAAGCGUGGGUAGCAAACAGG